This 1573-nucleotide long non-coding RNA is filed under the name Triticum aestivum (bread wheat). Its description in RNAcentral is "long non-coding RNA (TAES_LNC013351)". The record is from RNAcentral. Lineage: Eukaryota; Viridiplantae; Streptophyta; Magnoliopsida; Poales; Poaceae.
AUCCAUCUGCGCCUCCCGGCCACCCAUCAUUCCCUCCAUCCACAGCGCCGCCAGAACCCAUCCAUCAUCACCUCCAGCCGGCGCCGCCGCCUCGCCUACAGCCAUCUCCCUGCUGUCCGCUGCUCUCCUCUUCUUUCCAACCUUCUUCUCCUCACCAUGCUGCUGCUCCUCCCUCUCAAUCUCUACUGCUGCUCUUCCUUGCCCCCCCACCCCCCCGUGCUGCUGCCUCUCCUUCCCUUCGUUGCUUGCUGCUUCUCCUUUGAUCCCUUUGCUACUGCUCCUCUUCUUCGUGCCCAACCUCCGCUGCUGCUCCUCUUUCCUGCUGCUACUCCCUCUCACCACGCCUCUGCUGCUCUCUUUCCCCUCCUGCUGCUGCUCUCCUCACCAUGCUGCUUCUCCUCUUGCUGCUGCUGCCCGCCCCCGACCUCCUCCUGCUAUCUCUCUCUACUUCCCCUGCUACCUUUCUUCUCUGAACCUACCUACUGCUUCUCUCUCUCUCUGAAAUUGCUGUAGUACUAAGAUUUGUAAGACAGUGUACUACAACCUGUUAAUUGUUCAGUUCAGAUUUUUGCUUGUUUAGUAUUAUUCUGUUGAUCUGUGCUAAUCUUGUGGCUAGUAUAAUUUCGUUUCUGUUGUUACUUGUGUAACCUGAACCGUGGUUAGUAUCCUAUUUGCAUAUGUGUGUUUUGUAGUCCCUGUAUUAGUUACGUACCUGUGAUAUAUAAAUGUGUGUGUGCGUGUGUGUGUGUAAUUCAUCAAAAUAUAUUGUUGUGUGAUGAUGAUAUAUGUUCAGUCUAGAGACACGUUAUUUUUCUUGCUUUGUAGAUCGAUGUGAACUAGUACCCUUGUGUGUUUCUGUUGUCACUAGUUAAAUUGAUCACCUAUGUACUACUUGUUGUAGAAACUUGUUACAUUAGUCCUUGUGCUAGCUAUGCACCUGUGAUAAAUAUGUGUGUGAUGUGAAACAUUUCUGUUCUGUCCUAUAAUAUUGUUUCCUCCCUCUUUUGCUUGUCAUUAUGCUAUAUGUGUUCAUGUCCUAAUGUUUCCCUUUAUGUUAGUUUCUAAUUUCUCAUGCCUAAUAAAAAUACCAAAAGACAGCAAGUAAGAUCUGAUCCUCCCUUUGCUAUUUUGCCUUUUCUUUGUGGAUCAUCUUUGGGAGCAACCUUGUUUAGUUUAGGUUUAUUUUCUUGCAGCCAUAAUCUCAAUUGUGUUACCUAGAUUUAGCUGAGCAUAGUCGCCGUCGCCUAGUCCCUGCGGGGAACACGACACUCGCGAUUUGGGCGAAAUAUCCCACCACAUUUACAAACGAUCAGCGAGGCUCAUCGUCGUCCUUGCUAGGCGGCCCUUUCCCCUUGUGCUCGGUGUUUAGCUUACCGACCUGUUUGAAGACCCAACAAUUUUUGCUGGUAUGAUUGGCAGGCUUGUCAGGGGUGCCAUGGAUCUGGCAAGGCCGAUCGAGUAUUCUGUCCAAACUGGAUGAACCAUCUUUGUUUCCUUUGAAUGGCUUCUUUCGUUGACCGGGUUUAGAGCCACUGAAUCCAGCGUUGACCGCCGUAUCUUCGGUAUCUUCAUU